Molecule: long non-coding RNA, 274 nt
Filed under: Carica papaya (papaya)
Lineage: Eukaryota; Viridiplantae; Streptophyta; Magnoliopsida; Brassicales; Caricaceae
Description: long non-coding RNA (CPAP_LNC013092)
Source: RNAcentral
UGGACUGCGCAAAGUAGGCCCACAAGUUGGGCUUGUGCGCCGAGCAAGCUUGUGGGUUGCGCAAGGUUACCGUAGGGCGUGGGCUUGGGCCACAUAUGUGUACCCUUGCUGGGUGUGGGCCAGAUGGCGAGCACACAUUUAGGCUGGUGCGAGCAUGUGGGCUUCCCCUUGUGCUCAUAUGUGCGUGCACAAUACAUGCAGGGAGCCUUGUCCGCACAUGAGUACGGGUCUUCCUAAGGUGCGACAUGGGCUGACCUUUUAGCUUUGGGUGUUU